Molecule: ribosomal RNA, 373 nt
Filed under: Amphisamytha lutzi
Lineage: Eukaryota; Metazoa; Annelida; Polychaeta; Terebellida; Ampharetidae
Description: SSU rRNA
Rfam family: Eukaryotic small subunit ribosomal RNA
Source: RNAcentral
AUGCAUGUGUAAGUACAAGCUUUAUUAACAGUGAAACCGCGAAUGGCUCAUUAGAUCAGUUAAUAUUUAUUGGAUCGUAGAAUGUUACUUGGAUAACUGUGGUAAUUCUAGAGCUAAUACACGUGAGCAAGCUUCGACCCUCGGGGGGAAGAGCGCUUUUAUUAGAUCAAAACCAAUGCGGUGAGCAAUUGCCGCUCUGACUGGUGAAUCUGGAUAACUUUGGGCUGAUCGCACGGCCUCGAGCCGGCGACGUAUCUUUCAAAUGUCUGCCCUAUCAAGUUUCGAAGGUAAUCGAUAUGCUUACCUUGCUGUUUACGGGUAACGGGGAAUCAGGGUUCGAUUCCGGAGAGGGAGCAUGAGAAACGGCUACACA